CUCCAGCUGACGAGUCCCAAAUAGGACGAAACACGCUUCCUGAAU
This 45-nucleotide non-coding RNA is filed under the name Schistosoma mansoni. The record is from RNAcentral. Lineage: Eukaryota; Metazoa; Platyhelminthes; Trematoda; Strigeidida; Schistosomatidae.